GGGCACGACACCGGAGAGGGAGCCUGAGAAACGGCUACCACAUCCAAGGAUGGCAGCAGGCGCGCAAAUUACCCAAUCCCGACACGGGGAGGUAGUGACAAUAAAUAACAAUACGGGGUUCUUUCGGAUCUCGUAAUUGGAAUGAGUACAAUUUAAAUCUCUUAACGAGGAACAAUUGGAGGGCAAGUCUGGUGCCGGCAGCCGCGGUAAUUCCAGCUCCAAUAGCGUAUAUUAAAGUUGUUGCAGUUAAAAAGCUCGUAGUUGAAUUUCGGGGUUAGUAGGUUGGUCAUGCCUCUGGUAUGUACUGGUCUCACUGAUUCCUCCUUCCUGAUGAACCGUAAUGCCAUUAAUUUGGUGUUGCGGGGAAUUUGGACUGUUACUUUGAAAAAAUUAGAGUGUUUAAAGCAAGCUAACGCUUGAAUACAUUAGCAUGGAAUAAUGAAAUAGGACGUUCGAUCCUAUUUUGUUGGUUUCUAGGAUUGACGUAAUGAUUAAUAGGGAUAGUUGGGGGCAUUAGUAUUCAAUUGUCAGAGGUGAAAUUCUUGGAUUUAUUGAAGACUAACUACUGCGAAAGCAUUUGCCAAGGAUGUUUUCAUUAAUCAAGAACGAAAGUUAGGGGAUCGAAGACGAUCAGAUACCGUCGUAGUCUUAACCAUAAACUAUGCCGACUAGGGAUCGGAUGAUGUUAAUUUUUUAAUGACUCAUUCGGCGCCUUA
This 716-nucleotide ribosomal RNA is filed under the name uncultured Glomeromycotina. RNAcentral's name for it is "SSU rRNA". It matches the Rfam family "Eukaryotic small subunit ribosomal RNA", at positions 373 to 1090 of the family's 1831-position model. Lineage: Eukaryota; Fungi; Glomeromycota. The record is from RNAcentral.